AUUGAACGCUGGCGGCAGGCUAACACAUGCAAGUCGAGCGGUAAAGAGAAGCUUGUUUCUCUUGUGAGUGGCGUGCGGAUGAGUGAUGCCUAGGAAUCUGACUGGCCGUGGGGGAUAACGUUCCUAUUGGAACGCUUAUACAGCACACGACCUAAUUGAGUAAGCAAGGGUCAUUCAGUGAUUGCUGCAUCUGAUGAGCUAAGGUAUGGUCAUGUAGUGGGGGAGGUAGUUGGUCACCUAGCGGAUAUCAGGGCGACGAUACAGAGGAGACUUAGGACGUUGGAACUGAGACACGGACUAGACUACGAGGGGAAUAGUACGGGGGUGUGGAGGGAGUGCGCAGGAUGACGGGGAAUUGGACUGUCGUGGAAAGGCGUCAGAUAGUAAUUCGUUCGGUAGGUGGAAGUCAUUCCGAACAGGUGUUAGA
This 427-nucleotide ribosomal RNA is filed under the name uncultured Streptococcus sp. Its description in RNAcentral is "partial 16S ribosomal RNA". Lineage: Bacteria; Bacillati; Bacillota; Bacilli; Lactobacillales; Streptococcaceae. The record is from RNAcentral.